UCUGGUAGCCAUAGCGAGUGGGAACCACCCGAAACCAUUUCGAACUCGGAAGUGAAACGACUCAGCGCCGAUGAUAGUGUGAGGUCUCCUCAUGUGAAAGUAGGACACUGCCAGGC
RNAcentral lists this ribosomal RNA (116 nucleotides) under Gammaproteobacteria bacterium. The record is from RNAcentral. Lineage: Bacteria; Pseudomonadati; Pseudomonadota; Gammaproteobacteria.